RNAcentral lists this ribosomal RNA (497 nucleotides) under uncultured bacterium. Its description in RNAcentral is "partial 16S ribosomal RNA". It matches the Rfam family "Bacterial small subunit ribosomal RNA", at positions 29 to 508 of the family's 1533-position model. The record is from RNAcentral.
AUGCACGCUGGCGGCGUGCCUAAUACAUGCAGGUCGAGCGAACAGACGAGGAGCUUGCUCCUCUGACGUUAGCGGCGGACGGGUGAGUAACACGUGGAUAACCUACCUAUAAGACUGGGAUAACUUCGGGAAACCGGAGCUAAUACCGGAUAAUAUAUUGAACCGCAUGGUUCAAUAGUGAAAGACGGUUUUGCUGUCACUUAUAGAUGGAUCCGCGCCGCAUUAGCUAGUUGGUAAGGUAACGGCUUACCAAGGCAACGAUGCGUAGCCGACCUGAGAGGGUGAUCGGCCACACUGGAACUGAGACACGGUCCAGACUCCUACGGGAGGCAGCAGUAGGGAAUCUUCCGCAAUGGGCGAAAGCCUGACGGAGCAACGCCGCGUGAGUGAUGAAGGUCUUCGGAUCGUAAAACUCUGUUAUUAGGGAAGAACAAAUGUGUAAGUAACUAUGCACGUCUUGACGGUACCUAAUCAGAAAGCCACGGCUAACUACGUGC